RNAcentral lists this non-coding RNA (26 nucleotides) under Mus musculus (house mouse). Lineage: Eukaryota; Metazoa; Chordata; Mammalia; Rodentia; Muridae. The record is from RNAcentral.
UCCAGAUAUGCUUAGGCUGGUCCCGU